AAAAUAAAAAACAAUAUGAGUUAUUAAUUCUUUAUACUAUCAUACUGUCAUAGUGGUUGUUUGUUUUUCCCUUCCACUACCGCCUUUCGGGUUUGUGAUUGUCACUAGUUUUGUUAAGGGUUCAGUAGUACAGUAUCUAUGGCAGAUUCCACCAUUGUGUCCACUACUUCUCAGACACCUAGGAGUGAGAGUUCCCCUAUACCUACUACUAUGAAUGAUAACCCCAACCUUAGUUUUAAAAUCACCAUUUCUCUAUUUAAUGGUCAGAACUUUCUCGUGUUGUCGCAGAGCUUGACUAUGUUUUUGAAGAGCAGAAGGAAGAUAGUGUAUGUGGAUGGCAGGAUACAGACACCUAGCACAACUGACCUGGGUUAUGACCAAUGGGAGAUUACCAAUGCUUUGAUUAUGGGUUGGCUUAUUCAUUUGAUGGUACCAGACAUUGGCAAGGGCUACUUGUCUAUGGAGAUUGCCUAGGAUGUUUGGGAUGCUAUGGCUACCACCUAUUCCCGCAAAGGGAAUUUCUCAUAGGCAUUUAAGUUAUGCUGCUCUAUUAAAAGUUCUGUUCAGGGAGAGCAGACGGUUCUUCAAUACUUCACUUUCCUCACUAAUGGUUGGAAACGCCUUGAUCACCUACAGGACUAUAAGCCUGUUUGUACUGCUGAUUCAGUUGGGUACAGGAAGUUCAUUGCACAGGAAAGGUUCUUCAAGUUUCUAGCACGUCUCAAUGUGGAGUAUGAUCCGGUUCGGAGUCGGGUUCGGAGUACGGACAUUCGUCCUUCACUUCAGGAGGCAUUUGCCUAUGUACAAAAUGAGGAGAGUCGUCAGUCUGUUAUGAUGUCCCCUGUCUCUACUGAUCGCUUAGCAUUACUGUCUACCUCUAAAGAUGGGCUCAACCUGACUCUCAUCCCUCCGUCUGCUGCCAAGGAGUCUGUAUUCUGUGAUUACUAUAAAAGGUCACGGCAUACUCGUGAGACGUGUUAGAAGCUUCAUGGGACUCCAUCCAGGGGUUGCAAUGAUCAGUUUGGUUCUAGAGGAGGUCGGUCAGGCCAGUCUGGAAGACGUGACUCUCAUCCACAGGCUUACCAGUCUAGUGCCGUUGAUACACUUUAUUCUACUUCUGCUUCCGUUGGCCAGGUUUCUGAUGGUCUCUCUGGUAUGAUGACUACUUCUAAGCUUAAGGAUGUUUUGUAUCACUUGCUGGACCGCCGGUCUUCUACUGCUUUUAGUACAUUUUCCUUGUCGUUUGCCUGCCCAAGUAACUUAGCCUCUUCUCCUUGUGUUUUCUUGUCUCAUAAGUCUUUUUCCUGGAUUAUUGAUUUUGGUGCCUCAGAUCAUAUGUCUGGCUCAUCUGAUCUUUUCUCUGCCUAUAAGCCCUCUUUAGGUUAGGACAAAGUUAAGAUUGCAGAUGGUACUAUUUAUUCUAUUUUUGGGAAAGGUUUAGUCCAUGUCAUCCCUACUUUACCUCUCUCUCCUGGUCUCCAUGUUUCUAAUUUUUCUGUUAACCUGCUAUCCUUGAGUCAUAUUACAAAUGAUUUGAAUUGUAGUGUGACAUUUUUUCAUGAUCAUUGUUUUUUUUCAGAACUUUGUCACGAGGAGGAACGUUUGGCAGUGAUAGUGUAGAAAAUGGUUUUUACUUCCUGGAUCAACCGGACAAGCUUGCUCAUUCUUCCACCACGAGUCCUACCACCACCGAUGAUAUAUGGCUGUGGCAUCGGCGUCUUGGGCAUCCUUCUUUUAUUUACUUAAGCAUUUAUUUUCAUCUGUUUUUUUAAACAAUAAUGUGUCUAAAUUUCUUUGUGAGUCUUGUCAAUUUGGAAAACAACACAGAGCUUCUUUUGCUCCCAGUUUUAAUAAAAGGUUAGUUCCUUUCUUUUUAAUACAUUCUGAUAUCUGGGGUCCAUCUUGUGUCUGUGAAAGGUUAUCGCUGGUUUGUUAUAUUUAUUGAUGAUUUUUCUCGUACUGCAUGGGUAUAUCUCAUGAAAGACAAGAGUGAAGUUUUUUCCGUGUUCCGCAAUUUUCAUAAGAUGAUUUGUACUCAGUUUGGAGCCACUGUCAAAAUAUUCCGUUCUGAUAAUGGUGGUGAAUGCAUAGAUUUUGUGUUAGGGUAAUAUUUUUCUAUUCAUAGCAUUAUCUAUUAGACCUCUUGCACCAAUACCGCUCAACAAAAUGGGGUGGUGGAACGCAAGAAUCGCCAUCUUCUUGACAUGGCUCGGUGCAUGUGUUUUUCUAUGAGUGUGCCUCAGUCCUACUGGGGCGACGCUGUUCUCACUGCUGCCCAUCUUAUUAAUCAUCUUCUUACCCAGGUCUUGCCAAAAUAAGCUCCUCUUCAAGUCCUCCAAGGUUCCCAGUCCUUGUUUUUUAUUCCUCCCAAAAUAUUUUGCUGUGUCUGUUUUGUCCAUAAUCACUCUCCUACUCGUGGUAAGUUGGACCCUUACUCCCUCAAAUGUGUUUUCCUUGGGUACUCUCCUUAAAAAGGGUAUAAGUGUUAUCACCCUCCUCCUCGUAAGUGGGCACCACUACCUCCUACUGGGACUACAGAGCCCAAUGUCACCAAGGAUAAGGAAGAGCAAGUUUAUGUCAGGGACAAAGACAGACAUAAAGUUAACUGGAUACAAGAGACCACUUCUGCUCCUCCACUGCCAUUUCUUGCUUCUAAUAAGAGUCCAGAUCAUGAUGAUGCUAAAAUUUCAAAACUUGUAGAUAAGUGUCCCUCUGCUAUAUUGGCAGUUUUAGACUCGUUGGUGGAUCCUCUCCAGAAAACCACUAUCUUUAGUUCAAAGCAUGAUGCUGUCAAGCAAGAAGUUGAUCGUAAUGAAGACAGGAUUCAGAGUGCUCUUCGAGCAAUUGUGUGUGGAGGAGAUAGCAGUCUCAAGUUCAAGAACCUCAUGACUGAAAUAUCAAAAUCUCCAACAUUGUGGGAAAAGUAUUGUUCCAUCCGGAAUGAGUGAUGAAUUUGUUGAAUCGUGGCAUGUGUCAAAUUCUUUCUGCAAAGAGUGAAAAAAAAAAAAACAGGUCCAUUCUUGAUUUCCUCAGGAUAAGUAUCUCAGAUAAAACAGUAUAAAUUAGUCACACAUUCACACACACAAAAAAAAGGAAGAAAGAAAAAAAAAAAAAAACAAAAAGAGAGAAAAAGAGAAAAAGAAGAAGGAAUUAUUGGCA
This is a non-coding RNA of Camellia sinensis, 3159 nucleotides long. The record is from RefSeq and is a predicted model, not a curated record. Lineage: Eukaryota; Viridiplantae; Streptophyta; Magnoliopsida; Ericales; Theaceae.